Molecule: long non-coding RNA, 779 nt
Organism: Eucalyptus grandis
Lineage: Eukaryota; Viridiplantae; Streptophyta; Magnoliopsida; Myrtales; Myrtaceae
Exons: 4
Source: RefSeq, a predicted model, not a curated record
AAACAAAAAAAACAAAAAAAACAAAAAAACGAAAACACACACACAAAAAAAGAAUUUACAACAUAAGCAGUAUCAGUAGUUUUCCAUAGCUGUUAGAGUGGCUUCUCUACUAAUACUGAUCAAAGGAUGGUUCUUGCCUCUUGUAGUCCUAUGCAGCAAAAAUAACUCGUUUCUUUUCUAGGUGAAGAACAACCCUGCUGCAUUGCCAGAUUCUCUCUCCUUUUCUUUGAUGGGAGAAAUAUCAAAGUGAGGAGGAAGCAGCUCUUGGUUGGGGAAAGCAUGUCAGAAAAGCUGUUUCUUACAGAGAAGCAUAGGCAGCACAUCCAAGUGAAAUGGCCAACGAGAGUGGUGACGAAGAGGAACGGGUGCCAGAGCAAGAGCUAGAACGGGAGUAUACACCUGCUGGACGCGCUCUAAAGCAAUACCUCAAAGCAGAGAGGCCUCCCACAAGUCUGCAGAGCAAAGAACUGCUGAGAAAUUGCUACAAUAUUGUCCCAGUCAGCUAGCCGGGUCCCAGAUGAUGGUGGUGCAAGUAAUGCACUUGCACCGAGGAAGGCCAGCCAAUCUUCCAUACUGAGCCUAUUUUUCCUACCGACCAGCACCCCAUCUGACGUUUCAGAGAGAAAUUCAUGGCAAUAACAUCAUAUUUAUGGACAACCGGAGUAUCUCUCUCCUCAGACCAGAGGGCCGAUAGGAUCUGCUAAAGUGGACCUUGCAGAGAGUCCCAAGACUCUUACCUGUGACGGGUGUCUCUGCCAGGGGCAAGAAAAUAUCCAGUA